This 316-nucleotide ribosomal RNA is filed under the name uncultured Bulleidia sp. Its description in RNAcentral is "partial 16S ribosomal RNA". Lineage: Bacteria; Bacillati; Bacillota; Erysipelotrichia; Erysipelotrichales; Erysipelotrichaceae. The record is from RNAcentral.
GGAGUCUGGGCCGUGUCUCAGUCCCAAUGUGGCCGUUCACCCUCUCAGGCCGGCUACGCAUCAUCGCCUUGGUGAGCCGUUACCUCACCAACAAGCUAAUGCGCCAUAAGCCCAUCCACCAGUGUUUUUAACCUUUAAUAACAGAAAGAUGCCUCUCCGUUACCUAUCCGGUAUUAGUCCCCGUUUCCAGGGAUUAUCCCAGUCUUCGUGGGCAGGUUGCUUAUGUAUUACUCACCCGUUCGCCUCUGCUUCUUACCAGCAAGCUGGCAAUCCACCGAUCGACUUGCAUGUAUUAGGCACGCCGCCAGCGUUUAUC